Molecule: ribosomal RNA, 393 nt
Filed under: uncultured Glomeromycotina
Lineage: Eukaryota; Fungi; Glomeromycota
Description: SSU rRNA
Rfam family: Eukaryotic small subunit ribosomal RNA
Source: RNAcentral
UGGGGAACUCUCAUGCCAUUUAUUUUGGUGUGGUUGGAAAUCAGGACUGUUACUUUGAAAAAAUUAGAGUCGUUUAAAGCAGGCUAACGUCUGAAUACAUUAGCAUGGAAUAAUGAAAUAGGACGGAUUGAUUCUAUUUCGUUGGUUUCUAGGGUCACCGUAAUGAUUAAUAGGGAUAGUUGGGGGCAUUAGUAUUCAAUUGUCAGAGGUGAAAUUCUUGGAUUUAUUGAAGACUAACUACUGCGAAAGCAUUUGCCAAGGAUGUUUUCAUUAAUCAAGAACGAAAGUUAGGGGAUCGAAGACGAUCAGAUACCGUCGUAGUCUUAACCAUAAACUAUGCCGACUAGGGAUCGGACGCAGUUAACUUUAUAAUGACGUGUUCGGCACCUUACG